GUACUCCCCAGGCGGAAUACUUAAAACGUUAGCGACGGCACCCGGAGGAUUAAAACUCCAGACACCAAGUAUUCAUCGUUUAGGGCUAGGACUACCGGGGUAUCUAAUCCCGUUUGCUCCCCUAGCUUUCGCGCCUCAGCGUCAGUGUCAGCCCAGCAACCCGUCUUCACCUCAGGUGUUCCUCUUGAUAUCUACGCAUUUCACCGCUACACCAAGAAUUCCGAUUGCCCCUCCUGCACUCUAGCACGACAGUAUCACUUGGCCGUUCCGAGUUAAGCCCGGAGAUUUCACAAGUGACUUGUCACGCCGCCUACGCGCCCUUUACGCCCAGUAAAUCCGAACAACGCUUGCCCCCUACGUAUUACCGCGGCUGCUGGCACGUAGUUAGCCGGGGCUUACAAAUGGUACCGUCAUUUGUUUCUUCCCAUUCUUACGAAGUUUACAUUCCGAAAAACUUCAUCCUUCACGCGGCGUUGCUGGGUCAGGCUUGCGCCCAU
Molecule: ribosomal RNA, 497 nt
Filed under: uncultured bacterium
Lineage: Bacteria
Description: partial 16S rRNA
Source: RNAcentral